GACGAACGCUGGCGGCGUGCUUAACACAUGCAAGUCGAACGGAAAGGCCCUGCUUGCAGGGUACUCGAGUGGCGAACGGGUGAGUAACACGUGGGUGAUCUGCCCUGCACUUCGGGAUAAGCCUGGGAAACUGGGUCUAAUACCGGAUAGGAGCCAUUUUUAGUGUGAUGGUUGGAAAGUUUUUUCGGUGUAGGAUGAGCUCGCGGCCUAUCAGCUUGUUGGUGGGGUAUGGCCUACCAAGGCGGCGACGGGUAGCCGGCCUGAGAGGGUGGACGGCCACAUUGGGACUGAGAUACGGCCCAGACUCCUACGGGAGGCAGCAGUGGGGAAUAUUGCACAAUGGGCGCAAGCCUGAUGCAGCAACGCCGCGUGGGGGAUGACGGCCUUCGGGUUGUAAACUCCUUUCGCUAGGGACGAAGCUUUUUGUGACGGUACCUAGAUAAGAAGCACCGGCUAACUACGUG
Molecule: ribosomal RNA, 464 nt
Filed under: uncultured bacterium
Lineage: Bacteria
Description: partial 16S ribosomal RNA
Rfam family: Bacterial small subunit ribosomal RNA
Source: RNAcentral